GGCGACUAGAGUUAAUCGGGUUUCCGGGUUUCAUUUGAACCUCUUUUGGUCCUUCUGUUUAGUGGGAUCAAUACUGUUCAAAACUUCAAAUUCAAAUCAACUCGGCCCUGCAGUGCAGUUUGUGCGCGCAAUGGAGGUUCUGUACACGAAGCUCUAUGACAAGUACACCGAACUCAAGACUAAGAAACUGUCUGAUUUGGAACACCUCAACGAAGGACAACAGCUUAAAUUCAUCAAUUGCUUGUCCGCUGCAGAAGAGGUCGUUGAGCACUUGAAGACCGAGAAGGAAGAGCUUCUUGGACAAGUCAAUGACUUGAGAGUCGAGCUCGCUUUGCUAAGGGCUGCCAAAGACAACCAGUUAGCGGACUAUCAGAUGCUUUUGAUGGAGGAAAGACACAAAAAUGAAACUCUUUCUGAAGAAGUUGAGAAAUUGCAGCAGCUUCACCAGGAAGGAGCAUCUCAUGAUUUAAAUAAUAGUAGCAGGAUCAUGAUUGUAGAUGGUCAGUUUAAGGAUAACUCUAACAGCUCAUCUGUAAGAAUGACUAGAAAACGUAUAAGACAGAAUGCUUUGGAGAAAGAAGAAAGGUUUAUAUCUUUUCAAAAUGAUCAAGGUUCUUUUGAGAGAGAGUCAAUGCAAAAUACCUGCAAGGUGACCGCAUCUGGUAAGCGGUUGGAGUGCUGUAGUGAGGCUAAUGUUCGAUCAGGCAUUGAUUUACAGGAAACUGGUCAUGGUGACUGGCUUAUUCCAGUUCUUUUUGAAUAUGUACUGGGAAUGAAAUUUUCCACUUACUGUCAAGCUGGACGGAUAUGCCUUUCUGCACUGCAUUUAUCAAGUGGCUACUCCUUCAGUUUAUCAUGGAUUUGCAAAGCCCCUGAAGAGGAAGCCGAGCUGAUGUACCAUGCUUUAUCUCUCGGUACAUUUGAAAGAUUGGCUCCAGAAUGGAUGAGAGAGGACAUCGUGUUCAGCCCUAGCAUGUGCCCCAUAUUCUUUGAAAGGAAUAUUAAGUUGUGCUGUACGAGUGAACUUGCUUGUUUCUCCCAAAACCCAUUUCAUAUGCCAUCUGCAAAAAGAAUUUGUAAAAGUGAUGAUUGAUUGAACUGGUUGUGGUAUUGGCUUGGAGCAUCUACGCGUAGAGUGGGGAAGUUUUGCGCCAAUGUUUCAGUGACAAUUAGGCUAGGUCAAGUAUUACUAUAUUAUUUACUUUGUAGCUUCAUCUUAUGAAAGCAUAAGGACUAACCACUUAAAAACCCCAGAUGCAGCAUUUUCUAUCUUAUCCGACCGUGAGAAAGCCCUGUGGAAAUUGAUCUCAGCCUUGAAUCCCAAUUUGUCUAAAAGUAAAUGUUUUGUGGAGAAUGAGAAAUGGUCGAUCUUAUUAUCGUGAAUAAGAAUCUUUUGUUCACGAGGCUCUGGCAUAUUAAGAAAGCUAUGUUGGAUAUCUCUCUGGCCAAGCAAAUGGAGUGUGGAAGACUUAUGUUCAUUGGUAUCAUAUUUGAAGGGAAGCCAACCAAGUGGCGUAUUCCUCAGUUAAGUUUAGUCUUUCUCCCUUACUGCCAGUUCAGGUUUUGUGAUAGUCUAAUUCAGUGAUAAAUAAAAUAUAAAGCCCACGAUUAAUUCCUUGUUCAAGACUUCAACUUGAAGUCUUAGUAGACCGUCUUCAUUACAAUUCAACUAAAUAUUUAUCUCGAUGUAGUCAAGAAUUUGCCAUUUGUUCGACGAAUACAUGCCACUUUAAAAUGUGGAUUAAUGUAUUGUCGUGGGCGUUCAUUAUUGAAAAUCAUAGAACACUAAUGAAACCUCAGGUUGCUGGCCGGUAAUAAGAAAGAAGGCCGGCAUGUUUAAAUAGUUUGGAAGCAAAGAGUCACAUGGUUGUCUUCAAUUCAAUGAAUAGCUAGCUGCUAUUGAUGAUGACUAUGGACUAUUAAUUAAUAACAAAAUGU
Unclassified non-coding RNA from Vigna unguiculata (cowpea), 1938 nucleotides. Lineage: Eukaryota; Viridiplantae; Streptophyta; Magnoliopsida; Fabales; Fabaceae. The record is from RefSeq and is a predicted model, not a curated record.